UGAGGAAUAUUGGACAUUGGGGGCAACCCUGAUCCAGCCAUGCCGCGUGAGUGAUGAAGGCCUUAGGGUUGUAAAACUCUUUCGAUGGUGAAGAUAAUGACGGUAACCAUUAAAGAAGCCCCGGCUAAUUUCGUGCCAGCAGCCGCGGUAAUACGAAAGGGGCUAGCGUUGUUCGGAAUUACUGGGCGUAAAGCGCGCGUAGGCGGGCGGUCAAGUUGGGGGUGAAAUCCCGGGGCUCAACCCCGGAACUGCCUCCAAAACUGGCAGCCUAGAGGAUGUGAGAGGAUAGUGGAAUUCCGAGUGUAGAGGUGAAAUUCGUAGAUAUUCGGAAGAACACCAGUGGCGAAGGCGACUGUCUGGCACAUUUCUGACGCUGAGGUGCGAAAGCGUGGGGAGCAAACAGGAUUAGAUACCCCCGUAGUCC
This 424-nucleotide ribosomal RNA is filed under the name uncultured prokaryote. RNAcentral's name for it is "bacterial SSU rRNA". It matches the Rfam family "Bacterial small subunit ribosomal RNA", at positions 355 to 796 of the family's 1533-position model. The record is from RNAcentral.